Molecule: ribosomal RNA, 471 nt
Filed under: uncultured organism
Description: partial 16S ribosomal RNA
Rfam family: Bacterial small subunit ribosomal RNA
Source: RNAcentral
CACUCCUGCGGGAGGCAGCAGUGAGGAAUAUUGGACAAUGGGUGGAAGCCUGAUCCAGCCAUCCCGCGUGCGGGAAGACGGCCCUAUGGGUUGUAAACUGCUUUUAUCUGGGGAUAAACCUACUUACGUGUAAGUAGCUGAAGGUACCAGAAGAAUAAGCACCGGCUAACUCCGUGCCAGCAGCCGCGGUAAUACGGAGGGUGCAAGCGUUAUCCGGAUUUAUUGGGUUUAAAGGGUCCGUAGGCGGACUGAUAAGUCAGUGGUGAAAUCCGACAGCUUAACUGUCGAACUGCCAUUGAUACUGUUAGUCUUGAGUAAGGUUGAAGUGGCUGGAAUAAGUAGUGUAGCGGUGAAAUGCAUAGAUAUUACUUAGAACACCAAUUGCGAAGGCAGGUCACUAAGUCUUAACUGACGCUGAUGGACGAAAGCGUGGGGAGCGAACAGGAUUAGAAACCCGAGUAGUCCCAUGAU